This 501-nucleotide ribosomal RNA is filed under the name uncultured bacterium. RNAcentral describes it as "partial 16S ribosomal RNA". It matches the Rfam family "Bacterial small subunit ribosomal RNA", at positions 30 to 523 of the family's 1533-position model. The record is from RNAcentral.
AUUGAACGCUGGCGGCAGGCUUAACACAUGCAAGUCGAGCGGAGAUGAGGUGCUUGCACCUUAUCUUAGCGGCGGACGGGUGAGUAAUGCUUAGGAAUCUGCCUAUUAGUGGGGGACAACAUUCCGAAAGGAAUGCUAAUACCGCAUACGUCCUACGGGAGAAAGCAGGGGAUCUUCGGACCUUGCGCUAAUAGAUGAGCCUAAUUCGGGUUAGCUAGUUGGUGGGGUAAAGGCCUACCAAGGCGACGAUCUGUAGCGGGUCUGAGAGGAUGAUCCGCCACACUGGGACUGAGACACGGCCCAGGCUCCUACGGGAGGCAGCAGUGGGGAAUAUUGGACAAUGGGGGAAACCCCGAUCCAGCCAUGCCGCGUGUGUGAAGAAGGCCUUAUGGUUGUAAAGCACUUUAAGCGAGGAGGAGGCUACUGAGACUAAUACUCUUGGAUAGUGGACGUUACUCGCAGAAUAAGCACCGGCUAACUCUGUGCCAGCCGCCGCUGUAA